GUCCUGGCCGUAAACGUUGUGCACUAGGUGUUGGAGGCAUCGACCCCUCCAGUGCCGCAGCUAACGCAUUAAGUGCCCCGCCUGGGGGAGUACGGCCGCAAAGGUUGAAACUCAAAGGAAUUGACGGGGGCCCGCACAAGCGGUGGAGCAUGUGGUUUAAUUCGACGCAACGCGAAGAACCUUACCCAGACUUGACAUGCACGGGACCGGUGUUGAAAGACACCUUCCCUUCGGGGCUCGUGCACAGAUGCUGCAUGGCUGUCGU
RNAcentral lists this ribosomal RNA (265 nucleotides) under uncultured bacterium. RNAcentral's name for it is "partial 16S ribosomal RNA". It matches the Rfam family "Bacterial small subunit ribosomal RNA", at positions 793 to 1055 of the family's 1533-position model. The record is from RNAcentral.